GAUGAACGCUGGCGGCGUGCUUAACACAUGCAAGUCGAACGGUGAAAGCGGAGCUUGCUCUGCUGGAUCAGUGGCGAACGGGUGAGUAACACGUGAGCAAUCUGCCCCUGACUCUGGGAUAAGCGCUGGAAACGGCGUCUAAUACCGGAUACGAGCUGCGAAGGCAUCUUCAGCAGCUGGAAAGAAUUUCGGUCAGGGAUGAGCUCGCGGCCUAUCAGCUAGUUGGUGAGGUAACGGCUCACCAAGGCGUCGACGGGUAGCCGGCCUGAGAGGGUGACCGGCCACACUGGGACUGAGACACGGCCCAGACUCCUACGGGAGGCAGCAGUGGGGAAUAUUGCACAAUGGGCGCAAGCCUGAUGCAGCAACGCCGCGUGAGGGACGACGGCCUUCGGGUUGUAAACCUCUUUUAGCAGGGAAGAAGCGAAAGUGACGGUACCUGCAGAAAAAGCACCGGCUAACUACGUGCCAGCAGCCGCGGUAAUACGUAGGGUGCAAGCGUUAUCCGGAAUUAUUGGGCGUAAAGAGCUCGUAGGCGGUCUGUCGCGUCUGCUGUGAAAACCCGAGGCUCAACCUCGGGCCUGCAGUGGGUACGGGCAGACUAGAGUGCGGUAGGGGGAGAUUGGAAUUCCUGGUGUAGCGGUGGAAUGCGCAGAUAUCAGGAGGAACACCGAUGGCGAAGGCAGAUCUCUGGGCCGUAACUGACGCUGAGGAGCGAAAGGGUGGGGAGCAAACAGGCUUAGAUACCCUGGUAGUCCACCCCGUAAACGUUGGGAACUAGUUGUGGGGACCAUUCCACGGUUUCCGUGACGCAGCUAACGCAUUAAGUUCCCCGCCUGGGGAGUACGGCCGCAAGGCUAAAACUCAAAGGAAUUGACGGGGACCCGCACAAGCGGCGGAGCAUGCGGAUUAAUUCGAUGCAACGCGAAGAACCUUACCAAGGCUUGACAUAUACGAGAACGGGCCAGAAAUGGUCAACUCUUUGGACACUCGUAAACAGGUGGUGCAUGGUUGUCGUCAGCUCGUGUCGUGAGAUGUUGGGUUAAGUCCCGCAACGAGCGCAACCCUCGUUCUAUGUUGCCAGCACGUCAUGGUGGGAACUCAUGGGAUACUGCCGGGGUCAACUCGGAGGAAGGUGGGGAUGACGUCAAAUCAUCAUGCCCCUUAUGUCUUGGGCUUCACGCAUGCUACAAUGGCCGGUACAAAGGGCUGCAAUACCGUAAGGUGGAGCGAAUCCCAAAAAGCCGGUCCCAGUUCGGAUUGAGGUCUGCAACUCGACCUCAUGAAGUCGGAGUCGCUAGUAAUCGCAGAUCAGCAACGCUGCGGUGAAUACGUUCCCGGGUCUUGUACACACCG
This 1356-nucleotide ribosomal RNA is filed under the name uncultured bacterium. RNAcentral describes it as "bacterial SSU rRNA". It matches the Rfam family "Bacterial small subunit ribosomal RNA", at positions 28 to 1392 of the family's 1533-position model. The record is from RNAcentral.